AACGAACGCUGGCGGCAGGCUUAACACAUGCAAGUCGAACGCCCCGCAAGGGGAGUGGCAGACGGGUGAGUAACGCGUGGGAACAUACCCUUUUCUACGGAAUAGCUCUGGGAAACUGGAAUUAAUACCGUAUACGCCCUACGGGGGAAAGAUUUAUCGGGGAAGGAUUGGCCCGCGUUGGAUUAGCUAGUUGGUGGGGUAAAGGCCUACCAAGGCGACGAUCCAUAGCUGGUCUGAGAGGAUGAUCAGCCACCUUGGGACUGAGACACGGCCCAAACUCCUACGGGAGGCAGCAGUGGGGAAUAUUGGACAAUGGGCGCAAGCCUGAUCCAGCCAUGCCGCGUGAGUGAUGAAGGCCUUAGGGUUGUAAAGCUCUUUCACCGAUGAAGAUAAUGACGGUAGUCGGAGAAGAAGCCCCGGCUAACUUCGUG
This 431-nucleotide ribosomal RNA is filed under the name uncultured bacterium. Its description in RNAcentral is "partial 16S ribosomal RNA". It matches the Rfam family "Bacterial small subunit ribosomal RNA", at positions 29 to 507 of the family's 1533-position model. The record is from RNAcentral.